Long non-coding RNA from Entelurus aequoreus (snake pipefish), 285 nucleotides. RefSeq lists it as uncharacterized. The transcript has 3 exons. The record is from RefSeq and is a predicted model, not a curated record. Lineage: Eukaryota; Metazoa; Chordata; Actinopteri; Syngnathiformes; Syngnathidae.
CAGGGAAUUUGGCAGUACAUCCAACCGGCCUCACAACCACAGAACAGCCCAGGACCUCCAUUUCUUCUUUGCCAAGAUGAUCCAUCCCACCUCACUGAGAAUUUGGCAGUACAUCCAACCGGCCUCACAACCACAGACCAGCCCAGGACCUCCAUUUCUUCUUUGCCAAGAUAAAACAUCCCUCUUCACAGAGAAUUUGGCAGUACAUCCAACCGGCCUCACAACCACAGACCAGCCCAGGACCUCCAUUUCGUCUUUGCCAAGAUGAUCCAUCCCACCUCACAG